RNAcentral lists this ribosomal RNA (435 nucleotides) under Triticum aestivum (bread wheat). RNAcentral describes it as "partial small subunit ribosomal RNA". The record is from RNAcentral. Lineage: Eukaryota; Viridiplantae; Streptophyta; Magnoliopsida; Poales; Poaceae.
AUGUACGUGUACGGACGUAGUGCAGUCAACGCAGGCGUCGAGACUAUCUUCCUCCUCUCGACAAAGGCCGCACGGGACUUGGGGACGAGCACUCUUGCUCGAAGAAGAGGAAGCAGAGGUCAGCGUCAGGUUCGAGAGAUUAGGGAGGGAAGAAGAAGGGAUGGAAAAGGAGAAGGGCGACGAGGGCUGGCCUUGCCACGGUGGUCUCCAUGGCGAGUCGAGGCGGGGCGCACUGCUGCUGGCCAGCGCGUGCACGAGCUCCUACUCCUGGUUCGAGAGGGGGCGUGGGAAAUCGGGGCGCCGUGGUGCUCUGUGGCUGGACGUGGGAGGAGGCCAGAGGUCCUACAGGAGAUCCUCUCCGGCGAUGAGGUGGGGCUCGGUGAGGAGCACGGCAUGGAGGAGUCCCUCUCCUGUUGGGCUCGGAGAGCAGGAUGA